Molecule: unclassified non-coding RNA, 1462 nt
Filed under: Octopus sinensis (East Asian common octopus)
Lineage: Eukaryota; Metazoa; Mollusca; Cephalopoda; Octopoda; Octopodidae
Description: pyruvate dehydrogenase E1 component subunit alpha, mitochondrial, transcript variant X2
Source: RNAcentral
CUCCACCAGGUUUUCGAUAAUCCCCACCCAACACCGUUUCAGACUCAUUAGCGGCUCCUUAACAAGUCUAUCUUGUCUGAGUUUGACUGACCGGGGCCGUUCGGGGUUUUUUUUUAUAAAAAAAACUGAACUGCCAUUAUGCUCGCCUUACAAUGCGCAUCGAAAGGACUCAGCCAGUUCCAAGGAAUUCUUGGAGUUGCCUUGCGUUUUUCAUCUUCUCUGGCUGACGAGGCGACAUUUGACCUCCAGCCAUUCAAACUCCACAAACUUGAAUCAGGACCGUCAACAACAGCCACUCUCACUCGAGAUGAUGCCCUCACUUACUAUAAACAAAUGCAGGUUAUCCGACGAAUGGAGACAGCUGCCGGCAACCUCUACAAGUCUAAAAUUAUUCGUGGAUUCUGUCAUUUGUACUCUGGACAGGAAGCUUGCUGUGUUGGGAUGGAAAGUGCUAUUGAGAGGGACGACCCAGUUAUUACAGCCUAUCGAGCUCAUGGUUGGACCUAUAUGAGGGGAGUCUCUUUGGUGGGAGUACUGUCAGAACUCACAGGACGCAAAACGGGUUGCGCUCAAGGCAAAGGUGGUUCUAUGCACAUGUACAAUUAUAAUUUCUUUGGUGGAAAUGGCAUUGUAGGAGCUCAGGUGCCAUUAGGAGCUGGCAUUGGUUUUGCCCUGAAGUACCAGAAGAAACCUAAUAUUGUUGUAGCUCUGUAUGGAGAUGGUGCUGCCAACCAAGGGCAAUUGUUUGAGACCUAUAACCUGGCUAAGUUGUGGAAUAUUCCUAUAAUUUUCGUGUGUGAGAACAAUGGAUAUGGAAUGGGUACAAGUGUUGAUCGAGCAGCUGCCUCAACUGAUUACUACACUCGAGGGGAUUAUGUCCCUGGCAUUUGGGUUGAUGGUAUGGAUGUAUUAGCAGUUAGAGAAGCCACAAGAUUUGCCCGACGCUAUGCUCUUAAACAAGGUCCCAUCCUCUUAGAGUGUGUUACUUACCGUUACCAUGGUCACAGUAUGAGUGACCCGGGAACAAGUUACCGUACAAGAGCAGAAAUUCAAGAAGUAAGAGAAAAAAGGGACCCCAUUUCAGCACUGAAAGAACGUAUGUUGUCUAAUAAUCUAGCUGCUGCUGAUGAACUUAAGAAAAUUGACCUUGGAGUACGAAAAGAAGUUGAUGUUGCAGUAACUGCGGCUAAAGCUGACCCAGAGCUGCCUAUAGAAGAACUAUACACACAUGUAUAUAAAAACCCGCCUAGUGGAAUGAAAAUACGUGGCUGUGAUAAUUAUUCAUACAAUGCAACAAUGUAGAAAAUGUAGCUUGUUUUCCACUCCCAUUGAGAAAGAAGGAAGGCCAUGAAUCAAAAUAUUGGUCCUUGUCAUCAAGAAACACUUGACCUCUAAGAUAAGAAGGUGGACUACAUAAUACGUAAUUUUGAGAUUAAACAAUUUUCUUGGGGUAUAUCUGAAA